UCAAGCUGGAAAGAGCGCAAGGGGAAUGCCUUGGCAUCAGGAGCCGAAGAAGGACGUGACAAGCUGCGAUAAGCUUCGGGGAGCCGCACAUAGGCUUUGAUCCGGAGAUUUCCGAAUGGGGAAACCCGGCAGAGCAAUACUCUGUCAUCCUGCGUUGAAUCAAAUAGGCGUAGGAAGGGAACCGCCUGAACUGAAACAUCUAAGUAGGGCGAGGAAAAGACAUCAACCGAGAUUCCGCAAGUAGUGGCGAGCGAACGCGGAAGAGGCCAAACCGAGGGAUUUAUUCCUCGGGGUUGCGGACAGUCAUUUAGCGGAAGUUAUCUAGGAGAAGGGUCUGGGAAGGCCCGCCACAGAGGGUGAGAGCCCCGUAUCCGAAAGAGAAGGCCGUGCGACUGAAUCCAGAGUACCGCGGGACACGUGAAACCCCGUGGGAAACAGGGGGGACCACCCUCCAAGCCUAAAUACUACCUGAUGACCGAUAGAGGAGCAGUACCGUGAGGGAAAGGUGAAAAGGACCCCGGGAGGGGAGUGAAAGAGAACCUGAAACCUUGUGCUUACAAGCACUCAAAGCACGUUAAGGUGUGAUGAGGUACUUUUUGUAGAACGGUCCGGCGAGUUAUAGUAACGAGCAAGCUUAAGGUAUUGAGUACCGGAGGCGAAGCGAGAGCGAGUCUGAAUAGGGCGUAAAGUUCGUUGCCAUAGACCCGAAACCGGGUGACCUACCCAUGAGCAGGUUGAAGUGGGGGUGAAACCCCAUGGAGGACCGAACCGACCCCCGUUGCAAUGGUGGCGGAUGACUUGUGGGUAGCGGUGAAAUUCCAAUCGAACUCGGAGAUAGCUGGUUCUCCCCGAAAUAGCUUUAGGGCUAGCGUUAUGUUAGAUUACCGGAGGUAAAGCACUGAAUGGUAGCGGGGCCGAUAAGGUUACCAACGCCUAUCAAACUAAGAAUGCCGGCUAAUUGAUGCAUAGCAGUCAGACAGUGUGAGAUAAGUUUCAUUGUCAAAAGGGAAACAGCCCAGACCUACAGCUAAGGUCCCAAAUGUAUGCUAAGUGGAAAACGAUGUGGAGUUGCGAAAACAACCAGGAUGUUGGCUUAGAAGCAGCCACUCAUUAAAAGAGUGCGUAAUAGCUCACUGGUCGAGUGACUCUGCGCGGAAAAUGUAACGGGGCUAAGCAUCUAACCGAAGCUUAGGAUUGUCGUAAGACAGUGGUAGGGGAGCGUUCCAUGUGGGGUGAAGUCGCAGCGGAAGCAGCGGUGGACUGCAUGGAAGUGAGAAUGCCGGAAUGAGUAGCGAGAAUUAUGUGGGAAUCAUAAUGGCCGAAAAUCUAAGGUUUCUUGGGGAAGGUUCGUCCGCCCAAGGUAAGCCGGGAGCUAAGGCGAGGCCGAAAGGCGUAGUCGAUGCACAUACGGUAGAAAUUCCGUAGCCACCGAACUUUAAGUCAGAGGGACACUUUUGGAUAGCGGAACCCGGGCGUUGGUUGACCCGGGCGAAAGGGAGCGAAAAUAUAGUAGCGAAGUCCGCGAUGCUGAGAGGCGAGAAAAGCUCUGAUGGAUACUAAGGUGCCCGUACCGCAAACCGACACAGGUAGAUGAGGAGAGAAUCCUAAGGCCAACGGGAGAAGGGUUGUUAAGGAACUCGGCAAGUUGACCCCGUAACUUCGGAAUAAGGGGUGCUCAUGAAAGUGAGCCGCAGAGAAUAGGCCCAGGCAACUGUUUACCAAAAACACAGGUUUGUGCUAAAUCGAAAGAUGACGUAUACGAGCUGACGCCUGCCCGGUGCUGGAAGGUUAAGAGGAGAUGUGCAAGCAUUGAAUCGAAGCCCCAGUGAACGGCGGCCGUAACUAUAACGGUCCUAAGGUAGCGAAAUUCCUUGUCAGGUAAGUUCUGACCCGCACGAA
Molecule: ribosomal RNA, 1899 nt
Filed under: human metagenome
Description: bacterial LSU rRNA
Rfam family: Bacterial large subunit ribosomal RNA
Source: RNAcentral